ACUCUCUAUAUAAAUCAAAAGUUCAGAUUUUCUCUCAUAACUAUACAAUCCUCACCAACACAAAAACUAACUUCUCUCAAAAACUCUAAAAAUCAAACUCUUCUCUCUUCCCUCCAAAACCAAAACCCCAAACCACCACAACAACCCCCUUCUCGCCGGAACUCCUCCGUCACCGACUUAGCCACCAUCGCUCCCCCUUCCUCAAUCGCGAUUCCCUCCACUCUCGGCUUCCUCCUCCCCCGCGGUCUCCCUCCAUGCGAUGCUCUCCUUGCAGUCUCCCUCCCUCCACGCGAUGCUCUGCCUCGCCGUACACCCUCCGUCGUGCAGCGCUCCCCGUUCGGCACAGUCCUCCUUCCGGCCAGUCAUUUUGUCACCGUCACUUCCUCCAACUUCUUCUUCCUCCAAGGUUUUAGCUUGCGGCACAUUCUAUGUUCCUUACACUCGUUGAGCUUGCUAUUACGAAUUUGCUAUCCGUUUGGUAUAUUUUUGGACCAAUUUCUGUAA
Molecule: non-coding RNA, 504 nt
Organism: Vicia faba (fava bean)
Lineage: Eukaryota; Viridiplantae; Streptophyta; Magnoliopsida; Fabales; Fabaceae
Source: the annotation of a GenBank genome assembly